Molecule: ribosomal RNA, 253 nt
Filed under: uncultured bacterium
Lineage: Bacteria
Description: partial 16S ribosomal RNA
Rfam family: Bacterial small subunit ribosomal RNA
Source: RNAcentral
UACAGAGGGGGCAAGCGUUGUUCGGAAUUACUGGGCGUAAAGGGCGCGUAGGCGGCCUGCUAAGUCGAACGUGAAAUCCCCGGGCUCAACCCGGGAACUGCGUCCGAUACUGGUUGGCUUGAAUCCGGGAGAGGGAUGCGGAAUUCCAGGUGUAGCGGUGAAAUGCGUAGAUAUCUGGAGGAACACCGGUGGCGAAGGCGGCAUCCUGGACCGGUAUUGACGCUGAGGCGCGAAAGCUAGGGGAGCAAACGGG